RNAcentral lists this unclassified non-coding RNA (269 nucleotides) under plant metagenome. Its description in RNAcentral is "partial contains small subunit ribosomal RNA, internal transcribed spacer 1, and 5.8S ribosomal RNA". The record is from RNAcentral.
UCUCCGUAGGUGAACCUGCGGAAGGAUCAUUAAUGAGUUGUCAUGGGGUUCGAUGCUGGCAGCCGAUUUUUGGAUGCAUGUGCAUGCCCUAACAAUCAUCUUCCAAACACCUGUGCACAUUUUUGAGGGAGUCUUGAGUUGGUUGCCGCUCUUGGGUGAUUUUCUCACAUUCCCUUAAAUCAUUAUACGCUAUUAACAAUGUUGAACGUGCUCUGUGCCGCAAGGCUAUUAAUAUAAUACAACUUUUAACAACGGAUCUCUUGGCUCUC